RNAcentral lists this small RNA (58 nucleotides) under Sinorhizobium meliloti 2011. RNAcentral's name for it is "putative ncRNA". Lineage: Bacteria; Pseudomonadati; Pseudomonadota; Alphaproteobacteria; Hyphomicrobiales; Rhizobiaceae. The record is from RNAcentral.
GUAGUUUGAAUCGGUCUCCCGCUUUUCCACGGAAUGGUGGAUGCGGUGCAUGUCGGGC